Long non-coding RNA from Schistocerca gregaria, 2259 nucleotides. RefSeq lists it as uncharacterized. Lineage: Eukaryota; Metazoa; Arthropoda; Insecta; Orthoptera; Acrididae. The record is from RefSeq and is a predicted model, not a curated record. The transcript is spliced from 4 exons.
UACAUUUGUUUUUUUAACUGGAAUAGAGAGAUGCUUUUCUCCACAUGUUUCAAAAGCCAGAGCAUAUCCUUUAAACAAUGCCUUAUAACUUGAACGAUGAACAGAAAAAUAAGGACAGCUGCUGUGUUUACUCUAUGAGUUAUUCUAAUUUUUGUAGAACUACGUGGAUAUUGCCAGUGAUAUCUAUCUAUUCUUGCAUAAUUAUUGCCAACAAGUAUCAUUCCAAUGUUAGACAUACUCAUUGUAACAACUGGCAGUUUCUGGCUUCUGUAUCGGCUUCAGUAGGCGAACCUCCAGAGAAAUAUAUUUUUCGUUUAGGAAUAGGUCUAUAUUCGUCUAUGAAAAUAAUUGUAGACUGCUGCAAUUAUUUGUUGACCAGAAACUAUUUAGAAUGUAGACAGGCAAAAAUUCUUCGCCUUAAAAGAGGAUUGGAAUUCUGGAAUAUAGUGUCGCUGAUUACAGCUCUGCUAGAAGACUUUAUGUUGUAUUUGCUGACAUUUGUAGGCAGUAAAGAAAAUUUUUUCGUUCACCAGUUUGGAUUUUCUUCGUUUAUGUUAUUGGCACACAUUCACUUCCUCUGUUCAAUCAUCUGCUACCUGAAGAGCCAUUAUCCGUUGGCUGAAAAAGAUAAGAGAUAUCUGAAAGUUAAGGUUGCUAUUGCUAUGGGACACUGCGCCUCUUUCCUAGCGUGCAUAUAUUUUUAUUGGAGGCAUAUGCGUUUUUGCGAAGUAGGAAUUUAUUCUCUUUUUUCGCUAGCAGAAUACUUGGUCAUUGGAUUUAACAUUAUGUUUCACACGCAUAAACAACUAGAAUGGAAGAAUUGUAGCAUCUUCCUUGUCAAUACUAAUACUUGGGCUCUCCGAGACAGCUUAGACCGAGUGGUUACUGAUAAUGAUAAUCUUAGAGCUAAUAGCGAGGAGCAUGUAUAAAAUGUGUGAUAUACAAAUACAUGCGAAAAAGCGAAGCUUAAAUGCUGAAGCGACACGAGCGGACGAGUAUCAUCGAGAGGUUGACACUAUGAUUGGUCAUCCCAGUCCAGCAUGCUAAGGCAUACGACACCACCUAAGCAUCCUGUUGCGACUUGAUUUUGACCGGGGUUCCAGUCAGAGCAAAGUAUCGGAGAGGUAUGGUCCCCAACACCGAGAAUUGGAUGAGAAAGUUCGUAAUAGUAAAUGUAGCCAAAAUUGUUUUUAGAAGAUGUAAUAAAAUAUUUGCCUGACUCAUCGAAACUCAUGUCGACCUUUUUUGCGAAUUUUGAGUUGCCAGGGUGCGAAUAGUGUUCGGCAAUUUUUCCUGGAACUUGAAGACACCACCUUAACAACAUCCCCUGGGAGUCAAUUGAAUAGAUAUUGGUUUCGUCGUAGGCAUACUUGGCGUUCAAAAUUGAGCCAUUAUGUCCUUUCCAAGACAUUAUAGGCUUUAAGCCAUUCAAAUCGAAUAUGCGUAUGUAUCCAUCGGACAUUCCGAGAAGAGCCAUACUGGCAUUGUGAUUGUAGAUGAUAGAGUUGACACCGGCAUCUAGCUCGAUACGAUCCAAAAGCUGCAGAGUCCUUAAAUCAACUGUUUGAACGGUGCCUGAGGUUUUGGGACCGCUAUGCCCAGAGGUGGAACAUGAGAUAAAAUUGCCAGCAAGAGGACACACAAUAUCGGAUAUUCGCUGAUGUGGAGUUAUAGAGACUUUGCCGACAUUCUUGGCGUGAUCGACAUCCCAAAGUUUAAUGAUGCCGUUCCCUGUGCCAGAAAAUAUCAAAUGUCCUGAUCUGUUCCAUUCCAAAGCUGUGAUAUCGAACGUUUUUUUAAAUGUGAUAGUUUUUUGCUUCGAUGAACGGACAUGAAGAAAGCCAGUAUGCGUGCCGAAGGCGAGGGAAUUGCCAUCGCAGGAGUACUUACAGCAGACGAUAGGAGCCCCGACUAAAAUAGAAGUGGUUUUCGCUACCUUAAGCAGUUUAGAGGAAAAGUGUUGUAUUUUUGAAUCAAUUAGCGUGGUUGCGGUCGUUUCUGAAAUCUUAGUAUCUUUACAUAAAGGCGCGCCAUCCGGCUUGAGGUCGGUUUUUGUCUUGGUUUCUGGAUUUGAAGGCAAUGCCAGUUGGUCUUGGCUCUGUGGAGCGGAAAGGACCGGAUUCGUUACAGAAGCAACAGCAGAAUGAUGGAAAUUUGGCUCUAAUCUUUGAUUUAGCUGAGCAGACGGCUGCUGAUAAAAUGGCUGAUCUGGCUCGAGUGAUUUACUAUCAUUAUGUUCGGCCGAUUUAAAUCUCUCUA